AAGUCGUAACAAGGUUUCCGUAGGUGAACCUGCGGAAGGAUCAUUAAACGUAACAAUAAGCCUAUGAUGCCGGCUUUGCCCUAUGGUCGGGUAGAUGUCCGGAGGUUCACGCUUUAGCGGGUGUGUUAGCGGCCACAGAGGUGGGCGUUGUCGGGGCCGGAUGGCGAUGCACAGGGAUUGGCGUGCUGACCCUACCGGUGAAGGCUUCGUUCGCAGUACCCGGAAGGGCUACACUCUGGAAGGUAUGGGGGUCUACGAAACCCCCUUCACGCGCACAUGACUGAAUCCUUAUUAUACUCGUACCUCUCGUUCUCCUUCGGUGGGGCAACCUGCCGUUGGAACUUUACAAACCCUUUUUUGCAUCUGGCAUUACCUGUUCUGAUACAAACAAUCGUUACAACUUUCAACAAUGGAUCUCUUGGCUCUG
This 427-nucleotide unclassified non-coding RNA is filed under the name air metagenome. Its description in RNAcentral is "partial contains small subunit ribosomal RNA, internal transcribed spacer 1, and 5.8S ribosomal RNA". The stretch from base 1 to 46 matches the Rfam family "Eukaryotic small subunit ribosomal RNA", at positions 1786 to 1831 of the family's 1831-position model. The record is from RNAcentral.